This 440-nucleotide ribosomal RNA is filed under the name uncultured bacterium. RNAcentral's name for it is "partial 16S ribosomal RNA". It matches the Rfam family "Bacterial small subunit ribosomal RNA", at positions 338 to 795 of the family's 1533-position model. The record is from RNAcentral.
CCUACGGGUGGCAGCAGUGGGGGAUAUUGCACAAUGGGGGGAACCCUGAUGCAGCGACGCCGCGUGGGUGAAGAAGCGCCUCGGCGCGUAAAGCCCUGUCAGCAGGGAAGAAAAUGACGGUACCUGAAGAAGAAGCCCCGGCUAACUACGUGCCAGCAGCCGCGGUAAUACGUAGGGGGCAAGCGUUAUCCGGAUUUACUGGGUGUAAAGGGGGCGCAGACGGCGAUGCAAGCCAGGCGUGAAAGCCCGGGGCUCAACCCCGGGACUGCUCUUGGAACUGCGUGGCUGGAGUGCAGGAGGGGCAGGCGGAAUUCCUGGGGUAGCGGUGAAAUGCGUAGAUAUCAGGAGGAACACCGAUGGCGAAGGCGGCCUGCUGGACUGCAACUGACGUUGAGGCCCGAAAGCGUGGGGAGCAAACAGGAUUAGAUACCCUGGUAGUC